GAUGGCCUGGAGCUACUUUGAUGGGAUGGAGAGUUGAGUCACGAUUCAUAUCUGAUCUCCAAGAUUCUUUAGUCAAUGCAGAGACAUUUACUGAGUGCCCCCUUCUGGGCACUAGAGGUGGGACACACAAGGCCUCUGACUUCCCGGAGCUCGUGUCCUGGUGGCAGGGGCGGUAGAUGGCUACAGAAGUCAGACAGCUUCAGAAGAGUAAGCGCACUGAGGAAAAUGAAAUGGGAUGGUGCCCUCGAGAAGGGGUGCCGAGAGCGGGGAACACAUGAGAGUGGCUGGGGAGGGACACCAGAAGGAACCAGCACUGCAGCCAACAGGGGAAAUGGUUUUCCUAGCAGAGGGAGCAGCUUAAGCAAAGACCCUGAGGUUCCAGGUGCCACUGCCACAGACUGACCUGGUGUGUCCCCGCCGGCUCCUCCGCCACGUCCCUCCUCUGGGCGUGUGACCCUGGCUGUGGCAAGGUCAGAGCAAGAAAGACGGACUGACCUUUGCUCCAGGAUAUUUGUCAGCUUCUCUCAGUGAAUAAACAGCUUUGCCGUCACCAA
Long non-coding RNA from Leopardus geoffroyi (Geoffroy's cat), 554 nucleotides. RefSeq lists it as uncharacterized. The transcript is spliced from 2 exons. Lineage: Eukaryota; Metazoa; Chordata; Mammalia; Carnivora; Felidae. The record is from RefSeq and is a predicted model, not a curated record.